Molecule: ribosomal RNA, 515 nt
Filed under: uncultured Acidovorax sp.
Lineage: Bacteria; Pseudomonadati; Pseudomonadota; Betaproteobacteria; Burkholderiales; Comamonadaceae
Description: bacterial SSU rRNA
Rfam family: Bacterial small subunit ribosomal RNA
Source: RNAcentral
GCGGCAUGCCUUACACAUGCAAGUCGAACGGUAGAGGGGCAACCCUUGAGAGUGGCGAACGGGUGAGUAAUAUAUCGGAACGUGCCCAGUCGUGGGGGAUAACGCAGCGAAAGCUGCGCUAAUACCGCAUACGAUCUAUGGAUGAAAGCGGGGGAUCGCAAGACCUCGCGCGAUUGGAGCGGCCGAUAUCAGAUUAGGUAGUUGGUGGGGUAAAAGCCCACCAAGCCGACGAUCUGUAGCUGGUCUGAGAGGACGACCAGCCACACUGGGACUGAGACACGGCCCAGACUCCUACGGGAGGCAGCAGUGGGGAAUUUUGGACAAUGGGCGCAAGCCUGAUCCAGCAAUGCCGCGUGCAGGACGAAGGCCUUCGGGUUGUAAACUGCUUUUGUACGGAGCGAAACGGUCUGGGUUAAUACCCUGGGCUAAUGACGGUACCGUAAGAAUAAGCACCGGCUAACUACGUGCCAGCAGCCGCGGUAAUACGUAGGGUGCGAGCGUUAAUCGGAAUUACU